AGUCGAGCGGUAGAGAGGUGCUUGCACCUCUUGAGAGCGGCGGACGGGUGAGUAAAGCCUAGGAAUCUGCCUGGUAGUGGGGGAUAACGCUCGGAAACGGACGCUAAUACCGCAUACGUCCUACGGGAGAAAGCAGGGGACCUUCGGGCCUUGCGCUAUCAGAUGAGCCUAGGUCGGAUUAGCUAGUUGGUGAGGUAAUGGCUCACCAAGGCGACGAUCCGUAACUGGUCUGAGAGGAUGAUCAGUCACACUGGAACUGAGACACGGUCCAGACUCCUACGGGAGGCAGCAGUGGGGAAUAUUGGACAAUGGGCGAAAGCCUGAUCCAGCCAUGCCGCGUGUGUGAAGAAGGUCUUCGGAUUGUAAAGCACUUUAAGUUGGGAGGAAGGGCAUUAACCUAAUACGUUAGUGUUUUGACGUUACCGACAGAAUAAGCACCGGCUAACUCUGUGCCAGCAGCCGCGGUAAUACAGAGGGUGCAAGCGUUAAUCGGAAUUACUGGGCGUAAAGCGCGCGUAGGUGGUUCGUUAAGUUGGAUGUGAAAUCCCCGGGCUCAACCUGGGAACUGCAUUCAAAACUGUCGAGCUAGAGUAUGGUAGAGGGUGGUGGAAUUUCCUGUGUAGCGGUGAAAUGCGUAGAUAUAGGAAGGAACACCAGUGGCGA
This 663-nucleotide ribosomal RNA is filed under the name uncultured bacterium. RNAcentral describes it as "bacterial SSU rRNA". It matches the Rfam family "Bacterial small subunit ribosomal RNA", at positions 60 to 718 of the family's 1533-position model. The record is from RNAcentral.